GACUUGGUCGGGUGGUCCGCUUAACGGCGUGUUACUGCUUGGCUGGGUCUUGUCUCUUGGUGAACCGUGGUGCCCUUUAUUGGGUGCUUCGGGGAACCAGGACUUUUACCUUGAGAAAAUUAGAGUGUUCAAAGCAGGCAAAGCCUGAAUACAUUAGCAUGGAAUAAUAAAAUAGGACGUGUGGUUCUAUUUUGUUGGUUUCUAGAAUCGCCGUA
This 215-nucleotide ribosomal RNA is filed under the name uncultured fungus. Its description in RNAcentral is "partial small subunit ribosomal RNA". The stretch from base 48 to 215 matches the Rfam family "Eukaryotic small subunit ribosomal RNA", at positions 694 to 864 of the family's 1831-position model. Lineage: Eukaryota; Fungi. The record is from RNAcentral.